Molecule: long non-coding RNA, 242 nt
Filed under: Ornithorhynchus anatinus (platypus)
Lineage: Eukaryota; Metazoa; Chordata; Mammalia; Monotremata; Ornithorhynchidae
Description: lncRNA (ENSOANG00000039727.1)
Source: RNAcentral
AACAGCUAAACAGCUAAUCCCAGGUCUUCUUUUUUUUUCUCCUUUUGUACAAUAGCUUUUGUAGCAGGAAGAAAAUUAACAGCAGGUGAAAUCUUCUAAAGGGACAGAUCGAAUUUCAGUUCAACUCAAAACGGUUUAUUUCUCACCCUUAAUGGUCAGUGGAGGAUCCAGCCCCGAUAACAGUCUCCUCCAGAUAAUCCACAGAGUUGAUUGGGGAACACUGCGGGAGUGAAACGAACCGA